AGGCCCAGAAGCAGGACAAUCACUGCCAUCUCUAUUUUGUCCCUUUUCUCUUGUCGCAUUCGGCUCUCUUUCUUUUUUGCUUCUGUUUCCUGUAACCAAACGAAAUGGGCCAGGCUUUUUGUUGCUCAAAACUACGUGAAUUUUCAGUCUCACCAGGGCAGGCGGGUGCUCCAGGACCAUGAACUCAAAAAGUUUCGUCUUCUCCCACAUCCUGGUGGACGAUGCUUUCGUCCUCAGACCAUUCUCUCAAGAGAAUUUGAGAAUUACUUUCUAUGUGCAUCGGGUUUGUUCGUUAACAUUCAUGUGUGUCUCCGCUUUUCUGAAGAGCGUUUCUGGUUUCUUGGUCGGCGUUGAUUCCUCUGCACUGAAAUCCAUGUUCCAGUGUGAAAAUAUCAUCUCCCAUGCUACGAGGCAGUUCCUUCUUAUUCUUCAAAUGAGCACAUAUUGUACUCAUUUGUUAAAGAUUGUUAUAGAAGCACGACGCGACCGUGCAAGAACUUCCAUGACUGAGGAGCUAGCAUCAGACAAUCAAUAUUAUAGAAUUCUCAUAUCCAAAUGGGGGAUGUAAUGGCUUUUCUUUGUUAUUUGGGUUUCCACGAUGCAGAUUAAUACAAAAUAGAAGAAAAAUCUUCUCCACAGGCUGUCACUCUUUUUUCUUA
Long non-coding RNA from Physcomitrium patens, 659 nucleotides. RefSeq lists it as uncharacterized. Lineage: Eukaryota; Viridiplantae; Streptophyta; Bryopsida; Funariales; Funariaceae. The record is from RefSeq and is a predicted model, not a curated record.